RNAcentral lists this ribosomal RNA (253 nucleotides) under uncultured bacterium. RNAcentral's name for it is "partial 16S ribosomal RNA". It matches the Rfam family "Bacterial small subunit ribosomal RNA", at positions 524 to 776 of the family's 1533-position model. The record is from RNAcentral.
UACGAAGGGGGCUAGCGUUGCUCGGAAUUACUGGGCGUAAAGGGCGCGUAGGUGGACUGUUUAGUCAGAGGUGAAAGCCCAGGGCUCAACCUUGGAAUUGCCUUUGAUACUGGCAGUCUUGAGUACGGAAGAGGUAUGUGGAACUCCGAGUGUAGAGGUGAAAUUCGUAGAUAUUCGGAAGAACACCAGUGGCGAAGGCGACAUACUGGUCCGUUACUGACACUGAGGCUCGAAAGCGUGGGGAGCAAACAGG